UACAGAGGGUGCGAGCGUUAAUCGGCAUUACUGGGCGUAAAGCUCACGUAGUCGGCUUUGCAAGUCGGUUGUGAAAUCCCCGGGCUCAACCUGGGAACUGCAUCCGAGACUGCAUUGCUAGAGUAUGGGAGAGGAAAGCGGAAUUUCUGGUGUAGCAGUGAAAUGCGUAGAUAUCAGAAGGAACAUCAGUGGCGAAGGCGGCUUUCUGGACCAAUACUGACGAUCAGGUGCGAAAGCGUGGGGAGCAAACAGG
RNAcentral lists this ribosomal RNA (253 nucleotides) under uncultured bacterium. RNAcentral describes it as "partial 16S ribosomal RNA". It matches the Rfam family "Bacterial small subunit ribosomal RNA", at positions 524 to 776 of the family's 1533-position model. The record is from RNAcentral.